Molecule: ribosomal RNA, 513 nt
Filed under: uncultured bacterium
Lineage: Bacteria
Description: partial 16S ribosomal RNA
Rfam family: Bacterial small subunit ribosomal RNA
Source: RNAcentral
GACGAACGCUGGCGGCGUGCCUAAUACAUGCAAGUUGAGCGCUGAAGGUUGGUACUUGUACCAACUGGAUGAGCAGCGAACGGGUGAGUAACGCGUGGGGAAUCUGCCUUUGAGCGGGGGACAACAUUUGGAAACGAAUGCUAAUACCGCAUAAAAACUUUAAACACAAGUUUUAAGUUUGAAAGAUGCAAUUGCAUCACUCAAAGAUGAUCCCGCGUUGUAUUAGCUAGUUGGUGAGGUAAAGGCUCGACAAGGCGAUGAUACAUAGCCGACCUGAGAGGGUGAUCGGCCACAUUGGGACUGAGACACGGCCCAAACUCCUACGGGAGGCAGCAGUAGGGAAUCUUCGGCAAUGGACGAAAGUCUGACCGAGCAACGCCGCGUGAGUGAAGAAGGUUUUCGGAUCGUAAAACUCUGUUGGUAGAGAAGAACGUUGGUGAGAGUGGAAAGCUCAUCAAGUGACGGUAACUACCCAGAAAGGGACGGCUAACUACGUGCCAGCCGCCGCCGUAA